This 1013-nucleotide ribosomal RNA is filed under the name Listeria monocytogenes. Its description in RNAcentral is "partial 23S ribosomal RNA". It matches the Rfam family "Bacterial large subunit ribosomal RNA", at positions 1 to 1006 of the family's 2925-position model. Lineage: Bacteria; Bacillati; Bacillota; Bacilli; Caryophanales; Listeriaceae. The record is from RNAcentral.
UUGGUUAAGUUAGAAAGGGCGCACGGUGGAUGCCUUGGCACUAGGAGCCGAAGAAGGACGGGACUAACACCGAUAUGCUUUGGGGAGCUGUACGUAAGCGUUGAUCCAGAGAUUUCCGAAUGGGGGAACCCACUAUCUUUAGUCGGAUAGUAUCCUUACGUGAAUACAUAGCGUGAGGAAGGCAGACCCAGGGAACUGAAACAUCUAAGUACCUGGAGGAAGAGAAAGAAAAAUCGAUUUCCUGAGUAGCGGCGAGCGAAACGGAAAGAGCCCAAACCAAGAAGCUUGCUUCUUGGGGUUGUAGGACACUCUAUACGGAGUUACAAAAGAAAGUUAUAAAUGAAGCGGUCUGGAAAGGCCCGCCAAAGACGGUAACAGCCCGGUAGUUGAAAUGGCUUUCCCUCCAGAGUGGAUCCUGAGUACGGCGGAACACGUGAAAUUCCGUCGGAAUCCGGGAGGACCAUCUCCCAAGGCUAAAUACUCCCUAGUGACCGAUAGUGAACCAGUACCGUGAGGGAAAGGUGAAAAGCACCCCGGAAGGGGAGUGAAACAGUUCCUGAAACCGUGUGCCUACAAGUAGUUAGAGCCCGUUAAUGGGUGAUAGCGUGCCUUUUGUAGAAUGAACCGGCGAGUUACGAUUUGUUGCAAGGUUAAGCGGAAAAAGCGGAGCCGUAGCGAAAGCGAGUCUGAAUAGGGCGCAUAAGUAACAGGUCGUAGACCCGAAACCAGGUGAUCUACCCAUGUCCAGGAUGAAGGUAAGGUAAUACUUACUGGAGGUCCGAACCCACGCACGUUGAAAAGUGCGGGGAUGAGGUGUGGGUAGCGGAGAAAUUCCAAUCGAACUUGGAGAUAGCUGGUUCUCUCCGAAAUAGCUUUAGGGCUAGCCUCGAGGUAAAGAGUCAUGGAGGUAGAGCACUGUUUGGACUAGGGGCCCUUCUCGGGUUACCGAAUUCAGAUAAACUCCGAAUGCCAUGUACUUAUACUCGGGAGUCAGACUGCGAGUGAUAAGAUCC